Molecule: ribosomal RNA, 593 nt
Filed under: Morchella sp. Mes-10
Lineage: Eukaryota; Fungi; Ascomycota; Pezizomycetes; Pezizales; Morchellaceae
Description: eukaryotic LSU rRNA
Rfam family: Eukaryotic large subunit ribosomal RNA
Source: RNAcentral
CGGAGGAAAAGAAACCAACAGGGAUUGCCUCAGUAACGGCGAGUGAAGCGGCAAAAGCUCAAAUUUUAAAGCUGGCACCUCCGGUGUCCGCGUUGUAAUUUUGUGAGGCAUCUCCGGGUAGGGCGCCGGCCUAAGUUCCUUGGAACAGGACGUCAUAGAGGGUGAGAAUCCCGUGCUUGGCUGGCUGUCCCCGUCCAUGUGAGGUGUCUUCGACGAGUCGAGUUGUUUGGGAAUGCAGCUCAAAAUGGGUGGUAAAUUUCAUCUAAAGCUAAAUAUUGGUGGGAGACCGAUAGCGCACAAGUAGAGUGAUCGAAAGAUGAAAAGCACUUUGAAAAUAGAGUUAAAAAGUACGUGAAAUUGUUGAAAGGGAAGCGCUUGAGACCAGACUUCGGUGGGGAGUGAUCAGCUGUCCUUCUGGGCGGUGCACUUGCUCCCCUCCGGGCCAGCAUCGGUUGGGACGGCGGGAUAAAGGUCCCGGGAAUGUGGCUCCUUUCGGGGAGUGUUAUAGCCCGGGAUGAAAUGCCGCCAGCUCCGACCGAGGACCGCGCCUUCGGGCUAGGAUGCUUGGCAUAAUGGCCUUCAGCGACCCGUCU